This 413-nucleotide ribosomal RNA is filed under the name uncultured bacterium. Its description in RNAcentral is "partial 16S ribosomal RNA". It matches the Rfam family "Bacterial small subunit ribosomal RNA", at positions 338 to 748 of the family's 1533-position model. The record is from RNAcentral.
CCUACGGGCGGCAGCAGUGAGGAAUAUUGGUCAAUGGACGGAAGCCUGAACCAGCCAUGCAGCGUGCAGGAAGACGGCUCUAUGAGUUGUAAACUGCUUUUGUACAAGGGUAAACCUGAAUACGUGUAUUCAGCUGAAAGUACUGUACGAAUAAGGAUCGGCUAACUCCGUGCCAGCAGCCGCGGUAAUACGGAGGAUCCAAGCGUUAUCCGGAUUUAUUGGGUUUAAAGGGUGCGUAGGCGGAUUGAUAAGUUAGAGGUGUAAGGUCCGAGCUUAACUCGGCAACUGCAUCUAAUACUGUUGAUCUAAGGAGUAGUUGCGGUAGGCGGUAUGUAUGGUGUGGCGGUGAAAUGCUUAGAGAUCAUACAGAACACCGAUUGCGGAGGCAGCUUCCCACUCUAUAUCUGACGUUG